Molecule: non-coding RNA, 733 nt
Organism: Meleagris gallopavo (turkey)
Lineage: Eukaryota; Metazoa; Chordata; Aves; Galliformes; Phasianidae
Source: RefSeq, a predicted model, not a curated record
UUUGGGAUUAAGGGUUGGGAGAGGAUAAAAGAGAUGAUGAAAUAUUUUCCUACUUAUUUCUUUCAGUAAUUGGGUGUAUUUGAUUUCUUCUUUUUUUCUUAGAUGCAUGUCAGCUCAUUCUUUCCCAUCAGAUAGUAACUGCUGGCAGAAGCAUUCAAAAUUAAUGGGCAAUCUGAAGUUGCUUUUGAUUUAUGUGUUUCUGGUCCUCCUUCUGUAGAGGCUGCAUGGCUCACCAGCAGCUCCCUGUAAUGUGCUGGGUUUCUGUCUCCUUCAGCCAUUCAGAAGGAACUGCAAAUCACUUUAAUUACUCUAAAUCACCAGGUACCUAUUCUCAUAGUUCAUUGUUUGUUUUUCUGCAGCUCUUCUGCUUCUUUCUUUUGGGGUACUUGAGCUCCAUUUCUGCUGUAAGCAACAUGUCUAAGUAGUAGUUGGACAGGUGGAGCAGCCCCACCAUUGUGUUUGAUUUCCUUGGAAGCCUUGUGUUACAGGACAAGAGCUGUCAGGUUGUACAAGCACUGGUGGUCAUAGGAGAGACAGCUUCAUCACCCACCCUUCCAGUCAUGUUCCUGUGGUAUGUUUGGGAGUGCUUCCUAGAUGAAGAAAGGCUGCUGCCCAAUGCCACAGGAGGAGCAAGAGGAAGCUCUAGCUCUGCUUGUAGGGUGUAAUCAGCAUGCCAAGGUCAGCUGGAACACACGGGUGCACUACAUCCUGGGAUGGAUAUCUUCUAACAUGG